GGAAUCAGGGAUUACGGAAUGGGAAUAGGGAGUGGGCUCUAGGCUGAGUGGGGGGAAUCGGGGAUUAGGGAAUGGGAAGGCUAGAUGGGCCAUUGGGCCGUCCGGCGGGUGUGGCCUGUGGGCUAUUUGUGUUGGACGUGAAUUGGAACCAUAAAAUAGGUGGGAGUAUCAAUUUUAAGAUCUUAACUAUAUUAUACAUUAACUAUAUUAUACAUGUAUAUAUCUCUGAGAAAUACUAAAUUUUUUCAAAAAAUGUUAGGUAUGCCUAGGAAUACCUACGCACAACUGUGGGUCCGCCCCUGCCUGCAAGGUAAUGUGCCAAGACCUUACCAUUUUGGCAGCACCGAGCCUCCUCUUCCUGCAUGUUCUAGGAAAACCAAGAGAUGCUAAUAUUGAGUUGGCUGAAAUUGCCUGGGUC
This 418-nucleotide long non-coding RNA is filed under the name Setaria viridis. Its description in RNAcentral is "long non-coding RNA (SVIR_LNC008440)". The record is from RNAcentral. Lineage: Eukaryota; Viridiplantae; Streptophyta; Magnoliopsida; Poales; Poaceae.